GAUGAACGCUAGCUACAGGCUUAACACAUGCAAGUCGAGGGGCAGCAUGCAGGUAGCUUGCUAUCUGUGAUGGCGACCGGCGCACGGGUGAGUAACGCGUGGGUAACCUACCUUGUACAGGGGGACAACAGUUGGAAACGACUACUAAUACCGCAUAAGCGCACAGCAUCGCAUGAUGCAGUGUGAAAAGUAUUUUCGGUACAAGAUGGACCCGCGUCUGAUUAGCUAGUUGGCGAGGUAACGGCUCACCAAGGCGACGAUCAGUAGCCGACCUGAGAGGGUGACCGGCCACAUUGGGACUGAGACACGGCCCAAACUCC
This 320-nucleotide ribosomal RNA is filed under the name uncultured Lachnospiraceae bacterium. RNAcentral describes it as "bacterial SSU rRNA". It matches the Rfam family "Bacterial small subunit ribosomal RNA", at positions 28 to 339 of the family's 1533-position model. The record is from RNAcentral. Lineage: Bacteria; Bacillati; Bacillota; Clostridia; Lachnospirales; Lachnospiraceae.